UGCCAGGCGGGAGGAGAGGAAAGGAGCCGCCAGCGGCUCGGGCAGCGCGUUGCGUCUGGGUCUCCGGGGAUGGACUGGGCUUCGCCCUGCGUCUCAGCCUGCCCGCGGAGAGGAGGGCGGUGAUCGGCCGCCCAGCCCGCCAGGGAGGAGAGGCACCCCCGCCUGCGCCGAGGGGCCGGCACGACCCUGCUGACGCCCGGUUAAAUGUCACGGCUCGCCGUCCGCUCCCCGCCGCCGCCCCGCGCAUCGCUCACCUCGGGAGGGGGCUGUGAAGGUGGCGGCAGAGGCAGCCUCGACUGCGGCGCGCCCCGCUGCCGCUCGCCGUGAGGGAGCGCCCAGGCAGCCGCCAGUAAGUGAGCAGUGGAGCUGGAAAACUUGGCAGAACUCUUUGUCUUUCCUGCUUGUAUCUGUGGAAACUGGUUUGCAAGAUUGAUAUGAAGAUAAACAGUUUGAAUGAGGGAAGUAGUGGAGGACUUUCACCACAGGUGUGAAAAAUGAGCAGUGCCAACCUGGUGCAGUGAUCGUCUCUAGGACUUGAACCCACUAAGUCUUAAGGUUAAUUUCAAGCAUUCUCAGCGUGGUGCCGUGAGAGAUGCUGUUGUCCAUGAGAGGCUGGGAUUAUCAUGAUCAAGUGCUGUAUUUUGAUUUCAUCCAGUGGCUGAGAGAUUUGUGGGGUAAAGAGGAAGUACUGGACUUUUAAAAGUAUUAAACAGGCCCGUGACGGAGGGUUAGCCCAGAUCAGUGGAGUCAUGCGUCACACAGCUCUGUCAUGCUGGCAGCCGUUCCUGGGUCUGGCUGUGCUGCUAAUCUUCACAGGCCCCACCAUGGGCUGCCCGGCCCGCUGUGAGUGCUCGGCACAGAACAAGUCUGUCAGCUGUCACCGAAGGCGUCUGAUGUCCAUCCCAGAGGGCAUUCCCAUUGAGACCAAAAUCUUGGACCUCAGCAAGAACCGACUGAAGAGCGUAAACCCUGAGGAAUUCACAUCGUACCCUUUGCUGGAGGAGAUUGACCUCAGUGACAAUAUUGUCUCCAAUGUGGAGCCUGGAGCCUUUAACAAUCUCUUCAACUUGCGCUCCCUCCGGCUGAAAGGAAACCGUCUGAAGCUGGUCCCCCUUGGGGUGUUCACUGGGUUAUCAAACUUAACAAAGCUUGAUAUAAGUGAAAACAAGAUUGUCAUUUUGCUGGACUACAUGUUCCAAGAUCUGCAUAACCUUAAAUCGUUGGAGGUUGGGGACAAUGAUUUGGUGUAUAUAUCACACAGGGCCUUCAGUGGGCUGCUUAGCUUGGAGCAGCUCACCCUGGAGAGAUGUAACCUCACAGCCGUACCAACAGAAGCUCUUUCUCACCUCCACAACCUCAUCAGUCUGCAUUUGAAACAGCUCAACAUUAACGCUUUGCCGGCGUAUGCCUUUAAAAGACUGUUUCGCCUGAAAGACCUACAGAUAGAGGCCUGGCCCCUCCUGGACAUGCUGCCUGCCAACAGUUUGUAUGGUCUCAAUCUUACUUCUCUCUCCAUCACCAACACCAACCUGUCUGCGGUACCUUAUUCUGCUUUUAAACACCUGGUUUACCUGACACAUCUCAACCUCUCUUACAACCCCAUUAGCACCAUCGAAGCAGGCAUGCUGUCAGAUUUAGUGCGCCUGCAGGAGCUCCACAUGGUGGGGGCCCAGCUGCGCACCAUUGAACCACACGCUUUCCAAGGGCUUCGAUUCUUACGUGUGCUUAACGUGUCCCAAAACCUGCUAGAAACCCUAGAAGAGAAUGUAUUCCAUUCCUCCAAAAGCCUUGAGGUCCUCUGUAUUAACAACAACCCUCUAGCCUGCGACUGCCGUCUCCUCUGGAUUUUGCAGCGGCAGCCCACCCUGCAGUUCGGGGGUGAGCCACCAAUGUGUGCUGGCCCAGACAGUGUAAGAGAGAGGUCAUUCAGAGACUUUCACAGCACAGCUCUUUCCUUUUACUUCACCUGCAAGAAACCCAAGAUACAAGACAAGAAGUUGCAGUACCUGGUGGUGGAGGAAGGGCAGACAGUGCAGUUGAUGUGCAAUGCUGAUGGGGACCCGCAGCCUACCAUCUCCUGGGUUACCCCACGCCGGAGGCUGAUCACAACUAAAUCAAAUGGUAGAGCCACGGUGCUGGGAGACGGCACCCUGGAGAUCCGAUUUGCUCAAGACCAGGACACUGGGAUCUACGUCUGUAUUGCAAGUAACGCAGCUGGGAAUGACACCUAUUCAGCCUCCCUUAUGGUAAAAGGGUUUACUUCAGAUCGUUUCCUUUAUGCCAACAGGACCCCUAUGUAUAUGACAGACUCCAACGACACAAGUUCCAAUGGAACUAAUGCGAACAGCUACUCUCUGGACCUUAAGACAAUAUUGGUGUCCACAGCUAUGGGCUGUUUCACAUUCCUUGGAGUGGUUUUAUUUUGUUUCCUUCUUCUUUUUGUUUGGAGCCGAGGGAAAGGCAAACACAAAACCAGCAUUGACCUUGAAUAUGUCCCUCGCAAAAACAAUGGUGCUGUGGUUGAAGGGGAGGUUUCUGGACCACGACGGUUCAAUAUGAAAAUGAUUUGAUGGUAUUCUGCUAGCAGUGCUUUUUCUGUGGCAUUAAAACCUAUUAAAACAGCCUGGCAUGUGGAAUCGCUAGGCAAAAGCAGCUUAAUGCAGCUGUCAGUGUAUCAAAAGGUUGUAGGAAAAUGGAAAGACUAUUUGUGGUUAUACAACAGAGCCUCCAGACCUUGAGGCAGAUGUGUCAGGGCCUUUCAUAGAACUGGGAAAUUGUACUAACUGUUUGCAUUGCAAAUAUUGGCAUUCUGGGGAUAUCAGCAAUGAACCACUGGCUCAUGCUCAUGGACAAUUGUUCAACAUUUUCUACUGCUACAAAAGAAAAAAGAAAAAAAACAAACAAAAACCUACAGUGUAGGAUUUACAUACUUAAAGAAAAAGACACAUUUGUCUAAAACAUACUCUACAGUGACAUUUGUAUCUAUAUAUCUCAUUUGGUAAAACUUUGCAUCCUCCCUUCUAGUUGGUUCAACACUACAAAAAAAUUAGUAGUUUUUUUUCUUUUUAAUCUACAUCUAUACUGUGUACAUUUUAAAGCAAUACAAAUGAGAGGUUGUGCUUUUAGAUAUCCACCAAUACUGACCCAAGUGUGAUGUCACCCUUCUUUUAACUACCAUCAAACUUAAAUUAGAUUCUUGUAGUUACUAAUUAGAAAUUACAUAAGGUAUUUUUCUCCUCAUGUAGAAGGCCAGAGCUGAAUAACUGAGAGUAAAAACAAUCAACUCUGUCAAUCUUCUCUUCGUAUAAAUAUAAGGCAUGUGCCUAGUUUUGAUACAGAAUGGAAUAUUUUUUAUAUCUGUGAUAUCACACUGGACCAGUUUACUGUAACAUAGCCCUGGCUCUCACCCAGGGAAGGCAACCCACUAGUCAAUGCUGGCAUAGAGGAGUUGAGUUCUACCUUGAAGAGAGAGAAUCGGUUUUGUUAGCCCUGAUUUUAAUUUCAAAGCUACUGUUAAAAUGUUAAUGUGUACCGGGCAAAAUAAAGAGCAUAAUACAUUCUGCAGACUCCUUGGGAAAGAUGGUCAUCUUACUAUUUAUACAAAUGUAUUAAAACAUACAAACACUCUGCUACUAGGAAUGAACUCUUCUCCAAUGCCAAGUAAACUACAGUUGUUCAUGCAUAAUAUGGGGAUUAUAAUACUAAAAUAAUGAUUAAAACAUGAUAGCCUCAAAAAGGCUAACAUACUGCCAGAUAUAAUGAACCUCUAGCCACUGUCAUUCUCAUCUUGUAUAUUUGUAGAUAACACACAGACACAAAGCUAAUUUCCAAGAACAGAUUACUUAGCUAUUCUUGAUGCCAUUUUAAUAACAAUGUGGUUAUGUUUCUUUCAGGGGCAGUAUCUUAGAGCAAGAGGGGUGAGUUAUUCCAGAUUUUAGAAAUCAUUUUUAAUGGAGAGAAGUCAGAAGUGAAAUAUUAGUUCAGUACAAGUAACCUUUUGUUUGUUUGUUUUACAUCUCUAAACAAAUUAUUGAAAGACUGAGAACUGAAACUUUAUUCUUAAUCAUUAAUAUCACUAUUCCUAUUUUGAAAUUCUCAGCAAUUGCAAGAUAUGAAGUUGUUCAUCACUUCUCCUUUUUCCAGCAAUUAGGAGCCAUAAGUUUGUCCUACAUGGCUGAUAACAAAUACAAUUUUUCAAUGAUUGGCAUAACUCGGAGUAAGGAUAACAAUGACUAUAUAUAUAUAUUUAAUCAAAAAGAAUAUGAAAAUAUUAUAAGACAGAACAUUUGGAUUACUGUGAUUUAAGAGCCCAUGUUCAAUCUUAAUAUUAGAUUUCAGCACUUUGAAACCAAAGUCAGGCUGACCUAUAAUGGAAUGCAGGUGCUUCUAAAAUUAGUAUCCACAUUCUUAGGCAGAGAUUUUCAAAGCAGGAUAACAAUCUCCCACUCCUAUCAAGGGAAAUGUGUCAGAAGUUGUAAAAUCCAGCUGUGCUCCCCAAAUGUACCCAUAACAAAGCUGCAGGACCCAAGGCUAGACAAUUUUGAGAAUCUCUUUUCUUAGUGGUUGAUAUUUGGUUGCAUCGUUGUUCCAUUUUAUGUUGCCAAACUGAGGAGGUUGCAACAGUUGUUAGAAUUUUGUUCACUUAAGUUGAUUUUAAGUUUAGAGCUGGGUUUUCUUGCUUCCUUUUUUUUUUGCUCUGAACUAGAUAGGUGAAGAUUUAUAGAGAUGCUUGAUCAGAAUACUCUUUGUUCUACGACAGUUUGUAGAACAUUAAAAAAAUGGAAUAACCCCUGACUAAAUUCUAACACCAGGGAAAUUAUUUUUGUUGAUGUAAUAACCACUGCACUGACGUCCAAAACUCUACUGUACCUUAAUGUGGGCAGUUAAAGAAACAAAUGGGGAUAAAAAAAAUGUUUCUGAACUGUCCAUUGAAGACAUUUGCAUGUGCCUUUCCCUUGUAAUUGUCAUUUUUUCAACUAGUAAUCCAUUGCCCCUGCAGUCAUUUCAUGUUAAAUGUUGAAAUCAAUGUUAGAAGCAAAAAGUCUCCUAAGUUCUAGACAUUUGCAGCUGAUUUCUUCAUAUUAAAUGACACAAUGAAAAAAUUCUGAAAAAAAAAACACCCUAGAAAAAAUGUACUUUUAGGGUUAAUUAUGAAUUGCUGUAUUCCCUUACUCCCUUAGAAUGACUCUAAGAAGUGAUUGCAUUGUUAGUGCACUGCAAGGAUUUGUGAGCAGAAAUAUGCUUAGUUACCUAUGUGAAAUGUGUGCUGGUGAUGAAAAUCACCACUUGCUGUUGCUGAGCACCACCUUGCAGAUCUGUCAACGUUCUGUGUAUUGCCUUGAGUUCAGUCAGUAUUCAGUUUUUCAGAAUCAGUGUUUGCUUCCUGCCUCUAGUGAUGUUCUUCUUUUUGCAGCCUACUUAUUUCAGCAUGGACUUGACAAGGCAUAUGGCAUCUCUUAACAGAAGUGAGGACAGCAAGACUCAGAGACACGCUUUUUAUCUUGCUCCACGCGGUCUCCUUUUUUAUGUAUCUGUGGGGCACACACUCACUGUGGCUCUUUUGGGCGGAUAAGGAAUACAGUGCCAAGGUCGCGCCUAGAUAAGCACCUUUUUGGCAAUUCUUUUAAGAACAGAAUGGCUGAAUGCCUACGUGCUUCUUGAAGGAGUCACUUCUACUUCUCUGCUAGAGAUCAAGGGGACACCCCAGUUUAUUUUACUGCAGGGGAGAAAAAGGACUGGGCUGUAAGGAGGCAUCUGACCAACAUGGCUCCCCGAUCAUAUAUUCAGAAACAGGUGGAUAGUGCACACCUGGUACUAAAAGUGGGAACAAAGGUUUUAAGCUACCUCUGACUUUUGUACAGGCUGGCCCCCAUACUGGCACAAGCCUGAACUUACCUGGCAGUCAGUGCAAGAAAACUCUGAGGAGCAGCAACAGUUCUGCAGAAAUGGAAAAAACAGAAAAUGUCAAAACCAGCAAAGGAACUUGAGAAAGCAGUUCUGCCCUCUUCCCUUCUCAGUUUCAAAUGACUGUGAUGCCAAAUGAAGAUCUCUGGAUUUGGUUAAGUUUCACUGAAUGUUCACAUGGCUUUGGGAAUCUGAUCUCAAACCAGAAUCUUAAACCUCCUUCAAGCCAAAAAUAAAAAUAAAAAAAGAAGUUUGAGUAAACCUCCUCCUGCAAGUGAAAUAAACCAACUUCUGUAAAAGCCUUGCUACUGAGAUAGCUACAUGCCAAAAGCAAUCUGCAGGGGAUUUGGGGGGGGGGUUGGGGGUUUUUUGAUUUUUUUUUUUUUAAUAGGAGCAGGUGGUUGGAUAUAAGGUCAGCUGAAAAUAAAAAUCUGUAUUUAUAGCAUCAGCAGAAUGAGGAAAGAGCUUGCAUAGUCAAGAAAAUGAUCAAUGUUAUUUCAACUUAAAUUGAAGAAUACUUUGUCUUUCAUAUUCAAAUAGGUUAUAGAAAAGUACAAAAGAACAGACUUUCACCUCAUAAUUUGAUUAUUUGUAUUUGUUCAGCAGGUACCAAAAUUGUCAUGAAGCAGUAAUGUUGAAGUAAGAGACUGAAAACCGAUUUUCUACUGUAACCAGGCAAUAUAAACCAGGAGACACCAUUCUGUUGCUCCCAGUUACACUGGAAAUUUGAUAAAUCAAUCUAGGUUUUUUGCUUUCUACUAAGCAGGCUGUAAUGGAAAUUAGUUUUAAUUAUUUCUCAUCUUGUGGCAUAUCUUUUAUUCUGAAUUGCUUUAAUAUUUACCACUGCUAACUGAGCUGGACAACAUGAAAAUGUACAUUGUGGAAAGACAAGGAAAAAAGGCAAAUGGAAAUCUGUAACCUUAAAGAAGUCUGCCUAUUUCUAAGCAUGGCAUUUGCAAGUCAGCAACACUAUCUCCUCAUAUAUAAGCCAAGAACAAUGGCUUAAAAGCAUUGUGCAUAAGCAGCUGCAUAUGCAGCUGUGGAGAUGGUUGUGAACGUGUACACACCUUGGCAAUUUUAAUCUUUCAGAAAAAAAAAUUAUGGCUUCUCAAAGAAUUCAUUUAUGACACUUCAAUACCUAAAAUCAAACAACACUUUGACGGCAUUACACUGGGCACUGUAUAAGUAGGAAGUAAAUUAUACCACUGAUCUCUUGAGCUUGCAGCCAUAAAGUAAGAAGUUGGCUUUUGAGCAAGUACACAUGAUAAGAAGUCUCUCAUUGUUUGUGGAGGGAAUGCCAUAGUGCAGUAUAUUAAAAUAUCAUCACACUUACUAAAAUCUGUUUGCAAGCACAUGUAGUUCAUAUGUACAUGUUUGUGUGUGGAAAAAAAAUAGUUAUAUUUGUUUUGUUCUUUUCUUACUUAAAGUAUUAAAUGUAUAUUGUUUUUGAAAGGUGACAAAGUUAACAAGAAAAAAUCGUGCUGUAAUUUAUUUUAAUAUAUAUGAUCAUGAAUAUGGAUGGGAAAUGAAACAGCCUUGCUGUCAUGAUCCAUGAAGCACAUGAGAAUUCAGAUUUGUCCAUAAGUUCACUUCAUGUUUGAGCAAAAUAUACUAAUAUAAUGGGGGGGAAAAAAAAAAAAAAAAGAAAAAAAGCUUUGUUUGUCAAGACAGUUGUCCUGAAUGUCAUUUUAAAAGUUACUUUAGGGCUUAUGUCAUGAUGUGUAUCAUGCUUAUCCACAAUGGAACCCAAAUAAAUAAUUCCAUGGAGUGGCAAAAUUUACUUGAAAAAGUGAAGAGAAUUUACAUUGUUUCAGCUAUUGUAGUUGAUCUUUUUUUUCCCAAGGGGUAGUGCAGGAAACUAAGAUAAGAACAAUACAGUUUUCUUAACAUCAGACCUUAGGUCUUAGUGCAAAGUCUUCACAACAAGGUGUCAUCUCAGACCUACCACUCUUGAACUGAGAAUAUAAAACAUUACACUGAGAAAAAGAAGACUCUAGCAGGUAUUUUUCAUCUACUCACUCUCCUCUUCAUUGCAUGGACCCCUCAAACACAGAGAAAAAACUAGGUCUCAUUCAAACGUGGUUUGGGGUUUAUUCUCCAUACCAAGUAUCAGUCAGCCUGAUCCCUCACUUUUACUUGUGCAGUGUGUUCAGGUAGUCGAUGGGGAUACCAAUCAGGCUAAUGCUGGAAGAAAGAAAGCCUGCCACUUACCAGCACCACAGAGAGAACAGCAGAAAGAUAGAUUUCACCAGCUGUGUCACUUGGAAAGCAACCAAUACUGAAAAUCUGCAUCUGAAACAUGGUUUCUGAGGAAAUCACCAGUAUUCAAACUCCUCUAUAACUGCACUAGAAAAAUUAAGUGGUGGAAAGUAUAAUCUGCUGAGCUUGAAAGCUAUUUCAACCCCCUGAGGCUUGCCACAAUCCACCAAAUCUACAGCAGAGAUGAGUCUGAAGAAGGACACAGGCUGUAAUCUAAACUAUUGCUACUCCCAUUUUUCCACAGCUAGGUACUUUUACCAACAGAGAAUUUUGUUUAUGCUUUCUGGGAUAAUCUGAAAUAAGAUUUAUCACCCACGAACCAAUUAUAUUCUAAACCAGGGUCUUACUCACUAGAAAGGAAAACAGUUGUUAGUGCUACCUCAGGAAUUGAAGCAGCAGCUUGAAAUCCUGAUAGAUUGCAGAGAACAUAGACAGACAGGGGCUGAACAGACAGGGGCUGAAUCUGAGCUCUCUUGUGCCUCCCGAAAUCUGUCUUAUCCUUAUGUAUUUGCCUUUGACACCCCAAAAGAUUUCGGCUGACUUGCACCACUGUACCCUCCUCUGCAGCAGAAUGUCAAAUGCAAGGAAUUUUUUGGCUAAAUUUACUAUUGAUUAUUUUAAUAACCUACUUUAUUAAUAAUCUUUUAAUUUCCUUUAAUUUUUUAAUCUGACUGGCAGUCUAAUAUACUGCAAUACUGCCUUUUGUAUGACAUGAAAAAACAGCUAUUGCACCCACCCCUGGAUUGAGAACAUUGACUUUUUUUCCUCAAAAGGUUCCUCCACUCUAAGAUUAAGAUUUCUUUUAUGCAAUUAUAGUUCAUUUUUUGGACUACUGACACUAUAUCAAGGGGUGGAACCUGUUCCUAUAUCAUAAGAUCUAUUGAGCAAAUUCCAGUUUUACAGUAGAAGAAACUACUAGUUUUCUCCAUGAUAACCAGGUAGAGAAAAACACCAUCACUGACAAACUCAUUAAAACUGAAAAAAAGAAAAAUAAAAUUAGAAUUGUAAUAUCUAUGGGUAACCUAAAUGAAAAACACCACUUCAGAUUUUUAAAAGCAUCCAAAAUUUUCUACAGUACACUCACUUUCAAAAAUUUUUAAGAAUAUUUAUACUUAUACAGAUCCACUAUAGAGGAUUUGUCACACAGUUAAUACCCCUGUAUUAGAUACCACAGAUACCUUUAAAUAAACAAAUCUUUGCACCUAAAGUUUAUUUUAAGAAAUGCCUAGGUUUAAUAUUUUUAUAUUUUAAAAAGUUAAUGGGAAGUGGGAAAUCACAUUACUUACCAAGUAAUAAACACAAUUCACAAAUACUGAGUUAUUCUCACGUGGGGGAAUGCUCACAGUGAAUUUCACAGUCAUAAAACUUUCCCAUAUACAGUUGUAGAUGACAUGCUAUAGAAAAGGGCUUUGUUCAUCUCCUGCACUAUCUGGACUGGGGGAGGAGCUGGUAAUUCAGGUACAAAUAAAUCUGAAAAUACUGGAUUAAGAAACAUAGAGUUAUUGCAAAGGAACUGAUCUUUCUGUCUACUGACUCAGUAGCAGUCUGGGAGUUUUGGCCUAAAUUCCUUCUUUCCUAGAUAUAGGGAAUUCCUCAUAGAAAGCCUUAUUUUGCCUCUGUUCUUGGAAAGGUAAGCUUCAACAUUAGUAAUCAAUGGGUAAUGAAAUACAAUAAUUUAGUAAAAUACAAGAUCGGAUAGUAGAGAAGAAUAGGAAUUAAAACUUGUGUAAAACAUUAUAUUACACUGGUACUUAGCACACCGUCUAAGUAACUCUGAAAUUAUUUGGGUUUGCAGGAUCUCAUUUAUUAAUUAAUAGCUAGGGGAUGCAUUCAGCUAGUUAAAGCUGUAAUCACCAGCUAGAAUAUCUUAUUUACCUCAUCAGUCCCUAAGUGGAAGUUAUAUUUUUCUGAGCUAUUUUCCAAUAACUUUCCUAUUUAUAUAACUCAAAAGCACAAGUGAUGGAGAGCACACUUAUUUUAUUAUAGGAAGACAAUGAUAGUAAAUUUAAUCUAUUACUUUUGCUAAGAGAGUUCCUUGCUGUAUGUACAAAGAUUAAUAGAUUAUAUAAAUUAUCUAAAUUAUUGCUAUCACUGAAACCAAACAACAUCUCACUUUAAGAAUCUAUCAACCUUUUAUACAUCUGUGCAGUGCAUCAGUUUUAAUGCACUGGAAAUAAUACUUUGCUUUCAUAUAGAACAGGCAUGCCACGUAAAAGGGUUAGAGACAAUGCAGCCAUCUGAGUUACACAAACGUUUGCAUUUUAAUGGGCCUUAUUGAAUUUUUGUCGGCUUUUUGGCAGGCUGUCACAUUUCACUAAAGUAUAUCAGAUCAUCUUUGCCUGGCUUGAGGAAGAGUUGUCAGUUAGUAACACAAGCAGAAGGCUGGAAGUCAGGAUUUCUUGGCUGUAAUCAAAACCCCUAGGCCUCUAACUCUCUGGAGAAUACAAUAAUAAUAUUUAUUUUUCAAGAGGAAGAUUCUGCCAUUUCCCUAAGGAUUAUAAAGCCAAAGAGUUAUGGUUCACCCAUGCAUGUGUGAGGAAUGAUAAUUCUGAUGAAGGUUGGUAUGUGGUAAUAGGCAGUGUUAUCAGGCAAAAAAACGCUUUUCUAAGAAAUGCAACCCCUGCUGCCCGAAGUGCUCCAGAGGAGCACUCCACUUGGCAAUGUAGUGACAGCAGUGGUCUGCCCUGUAGUCAGCGUUUCCAACCAUUCCAAAUUAAAGACUCUUGUAGAGCAGUGGCAGUAUAUAAAAGAAAAUUGUCAUGAGAUAUGCACACCAACUAGACUCUGUCUUUUAUGCAGUUCAGUGGUAUAUUGCAUGAAAAGACCUCUUAAUGCCUCACUUAAUUAGUGGCUUUGCAAUGCUCAAAAACAUGAUUAUUUCCUAAUCUAUGAAGAUUUGUCUCUUUGCCUUUGAUUAUAGAUGAGAAAUGCUGAAAUGAAUGCAAACAACACAUCAACUGUCAAGUGUCACAUCAAGCAUUAAGAAUCCCACUACAACUACGAAAACAUUUCUCUUUGGUCCUUAUAUGAGACUACGCAAACUAGGUCACAUAGUUUCUCUACUCUCUAGCCAAAAUUUCUUAAAAGAAAGCUAACAUUUCCACAGGUUCUCCAACUUUUUAAUAGAUAAAGUAACAAGCAUACACUUUUCAAAUUACUGUUGCCAAUGUUUAUCAUAGGGAAUUUGUCCUGACACUACUCUGUUUCCCACAACACUGAGUCGUGGCCAACCUCAUCUUCAUCUUUUAAUCAAGAAUGUUUUGCUUACAAACAAGCCAAACACUUGGAACUUCCCCAUUCCCAGCUUCUGCUUUAGAACUGAAGCCAGAAGACUUUGCUGUGAUGUCAGUGAAGCACAUUUGAUAGUUAAUGACUGGUUACUGCCUUGCAUCCAGCAGUCAUUGGGAACUAUUUCUGAGGUAUGGUUUUAAUCUGGCAUGAUUAAAAAUAGCAACUAGUCCUUGGGAACAAGAUUAACCAGUACAUCCAUUUUGUCAUUCAAGAUCAUCAACUCAAGACACUGGAAGGUGUGUUCAAGUCAUUGAAAACAGAAGGAAGUACUUGCUGGAUGUGCAUGUCAUCUCAGAGAACUGUAAACAAAAAGGCAUGUAAGAGGUCAAGUUCUCCUUUAAGUGUUAAAUUACUGAAGCAGAAACCCAAACCACUGCAAACAGUAGGAGGUAAGCAUUAAAAAAAAAUAAAAAAAAAUAAAAAAAAACCAAACCAAAACAAAAAAUACAUAAGAAUUUUGCUCUGGUGGGUUUUAUGGUGUAACAAU
Molecule: RNA transcript, 11941 nt
Organism: Neopelma chrysocephalum (saffron-crested tyrant-manakin)
Lineage: Eukaryota; Metazoa; Chordata; Aves; Passeriformes; Pipridae
Gene: LINGO2
Gene name: leucine rich repeat and Ig domain containing 2
Exons: 7
Source: RefSeq, a predicted model, not a curated record